This is a transfer RNA of 79 nucleotides. It matches the Rfam family "tRNA", at positions 1 to 60 of the family's 71-position model. Rfam says of the family: Transfer RNA (tRNA) molecules are approximately 80 nucleotides in length. Their secondary structure includes four short double-helical elements and three loops (D, anti-codon, and T loops). Further hydrogen bonds mediate the characteristic L-shaped molecular structure. tRNAs have two regions of fundamental functional importance: the anti-codon, which is responsible for specific mRNA codon recognition, and the 3' end, to which the tRNAs corresponding amino acid is attached (by aminoacyl-tRNA synthetases). tRNAs cope with the degeneracy of the genetic code in two manners: having more than one tRNA (with a specific anti-codon) for a particular amino acid; and 'wobble' base-pairing, i.e. permitting non-standard base-pairing at the 3rd anti-codon position.
GCCUCAGUAGCUCAGCUGGCCAGAGCGGCUGCCUCGUAAGCAGCAGGUCGCGCGUUCAAAAAUAAGGGCGCCACACCCG